Molecule: ribosomal RNA, 505 nt
Filed under: uncultured bacterium
Lineage: Bacteria
Description: partial 16S ribosomal RNA
Rfam family: Bacterial small subunit ribosomal RNA
Source: RNAcentral
GACGAACGCUGGCGGCGUGCCUAAUACAUGCAAGUAGAACGCACAGUUUAUACCGUAGCUUGCUACACCAUAGACUGUGAGUUGCGAACGGGUGAGUAACGCGUAGGUAACCUGCCUGGUAGCGGGGGAUAACUAUUGGAAACGAUAGCUAAUACCGCAUAAUAUUAAUUAUUGCAUGAUAAUUAAUUGAAAGGUGCAAUUGCACCACUACCAGAUGGACCUGCGUUGUAUUAGCUAGUAGGUGAGGUAACGGCUCACCUAGGCGACGAUACAUAGCCGACCUGCGAGGGUGAUCGGCCACACUGGGACUGGGACACGGCCCAGACUCCUACGGGAGGCAGCAGUAGGGAAUCUUCGGCAAUGGACGAAAGUCUGACCGAGCAACGCCGCGUGAGUGAAGAAGGUUUUCGGAUCGUAAAGCUCUGUUGUAAGAGAAGAACGGGUGUGAGAGUGGAAAGUUCACACUGUGACGGUAUCUUACCAGAAAGGGACGGCUAACUACGUG